Molecule: long non-coding RNA, 535 nt
Organism: Syzygium oleosum
Lineage: Eukaryota; Viridiplantae; Streptophyta; Magnoliopsida; Myrtales; Myrtaceae
Exons: 2
Source: RefSeq, a predicted model, not a curated record
GCUCGCUUUCUCCACGCGACCACUCUUCACUAUAAAGAGUGUACAGCUUCCCCACUUUCGACGAAAGUGCAGCAGGCGAUCAAGCUUCGUCUUCUUCUUUGCAUUUAAAGUGGAGGGUGUGUUUCAGUGCGCCAAGGAGAUCGCUGAAAUGGCCUCUCUUCACCAAAGGUAUCUAACAUGGUGUUUCAACCAACCCAUCUAGAUCAAGAUUAUCAAUCUCAUUCAAUGGGGCAAGGCUUGAUCAUUGAUGUUGUUUUUACAGUCAGGUCGAACUGCUGGGAGGCUGUCUUGUGGAGAUGGAGUAUGGAGGAACUGCAUAACUUGGCAAAGCUGAUGCAUGCCUGAUAGAGCAGAGCCUUUUUGCCAGCUCUAUUGAAAUGUGAGUAAGAUAAAAUAUAUCAGUUCCUAUCAGACUGAGGGGUCUCCACCAUAGGAAUCCAUCGUCUGCAAAAAUGUAAUCCUACACCAUAUGGAUCCCCUUUUAUUUGUAAGUACACCGUCCUUGGAAUUCAUUUAUUGAGAAGCAUAUUUGACA